GCCAGUGUCGUCUAGUGGUUAGGACGCGAGCUUCACACGCUCGAGAUCGAGGGUUCGAUCCCCUCCUCUGAUA
Molecule: transfer RNA, 73 nt
Organism: Phytophthora infestans T30-4
Lineage: Eukaryota; Oomycota; Peronosporomycetes; Peronosporales; Peronosporaceae
Rfam family: tRNA
About the family: Transfer RNA (tRNA) molecules are approximately 80 nucleotides in length. Their secondary structure includes four short double-helical elements and three loops (D, anti-codon, and T loops).
Source: Rfam